AUACAUGCAAGUCGAACGGACGAAUAAGAGCUUGCUCUUAUAAGUUAGUGGCGCACAGGUGAGUAAUAUAUAGCUAAUCUGCCUCUUAGUAGAGGAUAACAGUCGGAAACGAUUGCUAAUACUCUAUACUUCUGCUUUACAUAAGUAAAGUAGAGAAAGUUUUUCGCUAAGAGAUGAGGCUAUACUGUAUCAGCUAGUUGGUAAGGUAACGGCUCACCAAGGCUAUGACGCAUAACUGGUCUGAGAGGAUGAUCAGUCACAUUGGAACUGAGACACGGUCCAAACUCCUACGGGAGGCAGCAGUAGGGAAUAUUGCGCAAUGGGGGAAACCCUGACGCAGCAACGCCGCGUGGAGGAUGACACUUUUCGGAGCGUAAACUCCUUUUAUCGGGAAAGAAUAAUGACGGUACCCGAUGAAUAAGCACCGGCUAACUCCGUGCCAGCAGCCGCGGUAAUACGGAGGGUGCAAGCGUUACUCGGAAUCACUGGGCGUAAAGGGUGCGUAGGUGGAUUAUCAAGUCUCUUGUGAAAUCUAAUAGCUUAACUAUUAAAUUGCUUGGGAAACUGAUAGUCUAGAGUAGGGGAGAGGCAGAUGGAACUCUUGGUGUAGGAGUAAAA
Molecule: ribosomal RNA, 618 nt
Filed under: uncultured bacterium
Lineage: Bacteria
Description: bacterial SSU rRNA
Rfam family: Bacterial small subunit ribosomal RNA
Source: RNAcentral